Molecule: ribosomal RNA, 232 nt
Filed under: Acinetobacter baumannii
Lineage: Bacteria; Pseudomonadati; Pseudomonadota; Gammaproteobacteria; Moraxellales; Moraxellaceae
Description: partial 23S ribosomal RNA
Rfam family: Bacterial large subunit ribosomal RNA
Source: RNAcentral
UUCCUGUACUUGGUGUUACUGCGAAGGGGGGACGGAGAAGGCUAUGUCGGCCGGGCGACGGUUGUCCCGGUUUAAGCGUGUAGGCUGACUUUCCAGGCAAAUCCGGAGAGUCAAGGCUGAGGCGUGAUGACGAGGCACUACGGUGCUGAAGUGACAAAUGCCCUGCUUCCAGGAAAAGCCUCUAAGCAUCAGGUAACAUCAAAUCGUACCCCAAACCGACACAGGUGGUCAG